AUGAACGCUAGCGGCGUGGAUAAGGCAUGCAAGUCAAGGGGGUUUUGCAAGUUGCAAAACAACCGGCGAACGAGUUAGUAAUACGUAGAAACAUACCCCAGAGUCUCGCAUAGCUCCGCGAAAGCGGAGGUAAUUCGAGAUAGUUCUCGCAAGAGUAAAGAUUUAUCGCUUUGGGAUUGGUCUGCGUCCUAUCAGCUAGUUGGUGAGGUAAUGGCUUACCAAGGCUAUGACGGGUAGGGGGCAUGAGAGUGUGUUCCCCAACGAGGGCACUGAGAUACGGGCCCUACUCCUACGGGAGGCAGCAGUCGAGAAUCUUCCACAAUGGGCGAAAGCCUGAUGGAGCGACGCCGCGUGCUUGAAGAAGCCCUUCGGGGUGUAAAGAGCUUUUUUGGGGGAAUAAUGCCGCCUUCGGGCGGUAUGAAUGUACUCCAAGAAUAAGGGGAGGCUAAUCACGU
This 455-nucleotide ribosomal RNA is filed under the name uncultured bacterium. RNAcentral describes it as "bacterial SSU rRNA". It matches the Rfam family "Bacterial small subunit ribosomal RNA", at positions 29 to 506 of the family's 1533-position model. The record is from RNAcentral.